AUUAAACGCUGGCGGCAUGCCUUACACAUGCAAGUCGAACGGCAGCACGGGGGCAACCCUGGUGGCGAGUGGCGGACGGGUGAGUAAUACAUCGGAACGUGCCCUGGAGUGGGGGAUAACGCAGCGAAAGCUACGCUAAUACCGCAUAUUCUGUGAGCAGGAAAGCAGGGGAUCGCAAGACCUUGCGCUUUGGGAGCGGCCGAUGUCGGAUUAGCUAGUUGGUGGGGUAAAGGCCUACCAAGGCGACGAUCCGUAGCGGGUCUGAGAGGAUGAUCCGCCACACUGGGACUGAGACACGGCCCAGACUCCUACGGGAGGCAGCAGUGGGGAAUUUUGGACAAUGGGCGGAAGCCUGAUCCAGCCAUGCCGCGUGAGUGAAGAAGGCCUCGGUU
RNAcentral lists this ribosomal RNA (392 nucleotides) under uncultured bacterium. Its description in RNAcentral is "bacterial SSU rRNA". It matches the Rfam family "Bacterial small subunit ribosomal RNA", at positions 29 to 424 of the family's 1533-position model. The record is from RNAcentral.